GUCAGGAUGGCCGAGGGGGCUAAGGCGCUGCGUUCAGGUCGCAGUCUCCCCUGGAGGCGUGGGUUCGAAUCCCACUCCUGACA
This 83-nucleotide transfer RNA is filed under the name Heterocephalus glaber (naked mole-rat). It matches the Rfam family "tRNA". From Rfam's summary of the family: Transfer RNA (tRNA) molecules are approximately 80 nucleotides in length. Lineage: Eukaryota; Metazoa; Chordata; Mammalia; Rodentia; Bathyergidae. The record is from Rfam by way of RNAcentral.